ACGACCAGACAUCAACGGUUGAAUGGGAAGAGAGAAACCACGACCAGACAUCAACGGAUGAAUGGGAAGAAAGAAACCACGACCAGACAUCUCUCGAUGAAUGGGAAUAAAGAAACCACGACCAGACAUCAACGGAUGAAUGGGAAGUGAGAAACCACGAGCAGACAUCCACGAUGAAUGCGAAUAAAGAAACCACGACCAGACAUCAACGGAUGAAUGGGAAGAGAGAAACCACGACCAGACAUCAACGGAUGAAUGGGAAUAAAGAAACCACGAC
Molecule: long non-coding RNA, 277 nt
Filed under: Lathyrus oleraceus (garden pea)
Lineage: Eukaryota; Viridiplantae; Streptophyta; Magnoliopsida; Fabales; Fabaceae
Description: Pisum sativum (pea) long non-coding RNA (PSAT_LNC016291)
Source: RNAcentral